Molecule: long non-coding RNA, 365 nt
Organism: Dermacentor albipictus
Lineage: Eukaryota; Metazoa; Arthropoda; Arachnida; Ixodida; Ixodidae
Source: RefSeq, a predicted model, not a curated record
AGGUUUCUUGGACUCAUCAAGCGGCUGCCAGAAACGAAGUGGCAGCAACGACAGCUCAGCUGAACUGGCCGCACGACACGUGAUGGUGACAGUGCCGAUAUUCUGGCCCCGACGCACGUGGUGGCGAUGGGACUUUCCAGUGCCAUUCUUCUUCCUUGCAAAGGCGACAGCGGCUACUCCGUGGAACCAUGGCGCCUGACUCCGGUCUCAGGCCACCUUCCCACGCACAUUGCAGCAGCUGCUGAGUGGAAUGGCCUUCCGGGCGACACCGCUUCCAUCUCUCGUCCAUCCACCUUCAUAGAAAGCGUCACCAAUCACCUCUCACCAUAGAUUAACACAUGGUUUCUGCUUAUUUCUGUGUAACC